RNAcentral lists this unclassified non-coding RNA (225 nucleotides) under Hevea brasiliensis (rubber tree). Lineage: Eukaryota; Viridiplantae; Streptophyta; Magnoliopsida; Malpighiales; Euphorbiaceae. The record is from RNAcentral.
AAUUAUGUGCUGCAUUGCCUGUUCAAAUUGAUGGAGAGCCUUGGUUUCAGGAAUUCCCGUGUACACUAGUCAUAUCCCACCAUGGACAGGCCUUCAUGUUGAAAAGGGCAGUUGAGGAGCCUCUUGGUCACGCAGCUGCAAUUAUCACUGAUGUUUUGGAGAGUGCUGAAUCAAAUAAUGUAAUUAAUGCUUCACAAAAGCGAGUACUCCUCCAAGAAAUGGCAA